GAUUAUCUAAUAUAUAAUAGUAUGACUAGCUUCCACCUAGUUUGUCCUACCAGGGGUAAUUA
This 62-nucleotide transfer RNA is filed under the name Amyrsidea minuta. RNAcentral's name for it is "tRNA-Gly". Lineage: Eukaryota; Metazoa; Arthropoda; Insecta; Psocodea; Menoponidae. The record is from RNAcentral.